UACGUAGGGAGCAAGCGUUGUCCGGAUUUAUUGGGCGUAAAGAGCUCGUAGGCGGUUUGUCGCGUCGGAUGUGAAAACCCAGGGCUCAACCCUGGGCCUGCAUUCGAUACGGGCAGACUAGAGUAUGGCAGGGGAGACUGGAAUUCCUGGUGUAGCGGUGAAAUGCGCAGAUAUCAGGAGGAACACCGAUGGCGAAGGCAGAUCUCUGGGCCGUAACUGACGCUGAGGAGCGAAAGCAUGGGGAGCGAACAGG
This 253-nucleotide ribosomal RNA is filed under the name uncultured bacterium. Its description in RNAcentral is "partial 16S ribosomal RNA". It matches the Rfam family "Bacterial small subunit ribosomal RNA", at positions 524 to 776 of the family's 1533-position model. The record is from RNAcentral.